GACGAACGCUGGCGGCGUGCUUAACACAUGCAAGUCGAACGGAAAGGCCCUGCUUUUGUGGGGUGCUCGAGUGGCGAACGGGUGAGUAACACGUGAGUAACCUGCCCUUGACUUUGGGAUAACUUCAGGAAACUGGGGCUAAUACCGGAUAGGAGCUCCUGCUGCAUGGUGGGGGUUGGAAAGUUUCGGCGGUUGGGGAUGGACUCGCGGCUUAUCAGCUUGUUGGUGGGGUAGUGGCUUACCAAGGCUUUGACGGGUAGCCGGCCUGAGAGGGUGACCGGCCACAUUGGGACUGAGAUACGGCCCAGACUCCUACGGGAGGCAGCAGUGGGGAAUAUUGCACAAUGGGCGGAAGCCUGAUGCAGCAACGCCGCGUGCGGGAUGACGGCCUUCGGGUUGUAAACCGCUUUCGCCUGUGACGAAGCGUGAGUGACAGUAAUGGGUAAAGAAGCACCGACUAACUACGU
RNAcentral lists this ribosomal RNA (467 nucleotides) under uncultured bacterium. RNAcentral's name for it is "partial 16S ribosomal RNA". It matches the Rfam family "Bacterial small subunit ribosomal RNA", at positions 28 to 506 of the family's 1533-position model. The record is from RNAcentral.